AGUGAACGCUGGCGGUAGGCCUAACACAUGCAAGUCGAACGGCAGCACAGUAAGAGCUUGCUCUUACGGGUGGCGAGUGGCGGACGGGUGAGGAAUACAUCGGAAUCUACUUUUUCGUGGGGGAUAACGUAGGGAAACUUACGCUAAUACCGCAUACGACCUACGGGUGAAAGCCGGGGAUCUUCGGACCUUGCGCGAUUGAAUGAGCCGAUGUCGGUUUAGCUAGUUGGCGGGGGAAAGGCCCACCAAGGCGACGAUCCGUAGCUGGUCUGAGAGGAUGAUCAGCCACACUGGAACUGAGACACGGUCCAGACUCCUACGGGAGGCAGCAGUGGGGAAUAUUGGACAAUGGGCGCAAGCCUGAUCCAGCCAUACCGCGUGGGUGAAGAAGGCCUUCGGGUUGUAAAGCCCUUUUGUUGGGAAAGAAAAGCAGCAGGUUAAUACCCCGCUGUUCUGACGGUACCCAAAGAAUAAGCACCGGCUAACUUCGUG
This 492-nucleotide ribosomal RNA is filed under the name uncultured bacterium. Its description in RNAcentral is "partial 16S ribosomal RNA". It matches the Rfam family "Bacterial small subunit ribosomal RNA", at positions 29 to 507 of the family's 1533-position model. The record is from RNAcentral.